RNAcentral lists this unclassified non-coding RNA (315 nucleotides) under uncultured fungus. Its description in RNAcentral is "partial contains small subunit ribosomal RNA, internal transcribed spacer 1, and 5.8S ribosomal RNA". The stretch from base 1 to 73 matches the Rfam family "Eukaryotic small subunit ribosomal RNA", at positions 1759 to 1831 of the family's 1831-position model. Lineage: Eukaryota; Fungi. The record is from RNAcentral.
GCAAACUUGGUCAUUUAGAGGAAGUAAAAGUCGUAACAAGGUUUCCGUAGGUGAACCUGCGGAAGGAUCAUUACCAAAAUGGUGGUCGGUUCGCGGGCAUCCCUCUUCAAGGGAAGACUCCCUUAGAGGUGUGUCCGUCCGUCCUAAUACCUUCAACCCUUGAACACUUAGCCCUGUUGCCUCGGCGGGUCCGCCCGCCAGAGGACACAAACCAAACUACUGUUGUUAACGGUGUGGUCUGAGCUAUACAAAAAGCAAUUGUUUAAAACUUUCAACAACGGAUCUCUUGGUUCUGGCAUCGAUGAAGAACGCAGC